GACGAACGCUGGCGGCGUGCCUAAUACAUGCAAGUAGAACGCACAGUUUAUACCGUAGCUUGCUACACCAUAGACUGUGAGUUGCGAACGGGUGAGUAACGCGUAGGUAACCUGCCUGGUAGCGGGGGAUAACUAUUGGAAACGAUAGCUAAUACCGCAUAAUAUUAAUUAUUGCAUGAUAAUUAAUUGAAAGGUGCAAUUGCACCACUACCAGAUGGACCUGCGUUGUAUUAGCUAGUAGGUGAGGUAACGGCUCACCUAGGCGACGAUACAUAGCCGACCUGAGAGGGUGAUCGGCCACACUGGGACUGAGACACGGCCCAGACUCCUACGGGAGGCAGCAGUAGGGAAUCUUCAGCAAUGGACGAAAGUCUGACCGAGCAACGCCGCGUGAGUGAAGAAGGUUUUCGGAUCGUAAAGCUCUGUUGUAAGAGAAGAACGGGUGUGAGAGUGGAAAGUUCACACUGUGACGGUAUCUUACCAGAAAGAGACGGCUAACUACGUG
This 505-nucleotide ribosomal RNA is filed under the name uncultured bacterium. Its description in RNAcentral is "partial 16S ribosomal RNA". It matches the Rfam family "Bacterial small subunit ribosomal RNA", at positions 28 to 507 of the family's 1533-position model. The record is from RNAcentral.